Molecule: ribosomal RNA, 305 nt
Filed under: uncultured bacterium
Lineage: Bacteria
Description: bacterial SSU rRNA
Rfam family: Bacterial small subunit ribosomal RNA
Source: RNAcentral
AUCUACCUACGGGGCGCAGCAGUGAGGAAUAUUGGUCAAUGGGAGAGAUCCUGAACCAGCCAAGCCGCGUGAGGGAAGACGGCCCUAUGGGUUGUAAACCUCUUUUGUCGGAGAACAAAACCCGGGACGAGUCCCGGACUGCGUGUAUCCGAAGAAAAAGCAUCGGCUAACUACGUGCCAGCAGCCGCGGUAAUACGUAGGGAGCAAGCGUUAUCCGGAUUUACUGGGUGUAAAGGGCGCGUAGGCGGGAUGGCAAGUCAGAUGUGAAAUCCAGGGGCUCAACCCCUGAACUGCAUUUGAAACUG